GGAGAUAUUUGAGGGCUGCCGUGCUCGGGAACUGCCGUGUCACACUUCACAAAAGGUUGUCCAAGUAGCAGCUGUCAUUGUUAAAGAAGCAGCAACAAGAGGAUUGUUGAUCUCAAAAGCAGUACGAACCAACACUUAAUAACAGAAGCAUGUUUUUAAGUUCCCUUCGUAUAUUAUCUCACGUAAUUACCACAGUGACUCCAUCAGGAAUGGAUGAAGAAAGCAUGGUGGGAAAUGGAGAAUGAAGGAUUGCAAGCAAAAGUGAGAACAAGAAUGAGGAAUAAAAACAGAGGAGAAAGUUGAAAAGAAAGAGCC
Molecule: long non-coding RNA, 315 nt
Filed under: Felis catus (domestic cat)
Lineage: Eukaryota; Metazoa; Chordata; Mammalia; Carnivora; Felidae
Description: lncRNA (ENSFCAG00000050864.1)
Source: RNAcentral